AUACGUAGGUGGCAAGCGUUGUCCGGAAUUAUUGGGCGUAAAGCGCGCGCAGGUGGGAUGUUAAGUCAUUUGUAAAAGUGCGGGGCUCAACCCCGUAAAGCGAUUGAUACUGGCAUUCUUGAGUGCAGGAGAGGAAAGCGGAAUUCCCAGUGUAGCGGUGAAAUGCGUAGAUAUUGGGAGGAACACCAGUGGCGAAGGCGGCUUUCUGGACUGUGUCUGACACUGAGGCGCGAAAGCCAGGGGAGCGAACGGGAUUAGAUACCCCGGUAGUCCUGGCCGUAAACGAUGGGUACUAGGUGUAGGAGGUAUCGACCCUUUCUGUGCCGGAGUUAACGCAAUAAGUACCCCGCCUGGUGAGUAUGGCCGCAAGGUUGAA
RNAcentral lists this ribosomal RNA (376 nucleotides) under uncultured bacterium. RNAcentral describes it as "bacterial SSU rRNA". It matches the Rfam family "Bacterial small subunit ribosomal RNA", at positions 523 to 898 of the family's 1533-position model. The record is from RNAcentral.